CCUUUCUCACUUCUCAGGAGCAACAUUCAGAGAAAUGUGAAACACCUACUUGGCUGCAGAGAUGGCUCACAACAAGCUUGAAAACCCUCUUAGGAAAUGCAUGGAUCAUGGGAACGGCUGCCUGGUUUUCCAAAUGAGCAGCCGCUAGCUCUCCCGCCGUAUAUGAAGCACACUGACUUGACCAGCUUGAUGCAGCUUGAACAUCACUGCUGCGCCUCUGUGUGACAGCCCGAGUGCUGAUGUCAGCACGGCCACGUCUCCACUGCCAUCCGGGCUGACGAGCUGUCACACACUCUCUCUGGUGCUGUGUUGCUCCCACACAAUGGAGCCAAUUUUUGUUCAGGACAAAGAAAAUAUAAACAGAGCGUGGAUUUGGAAUAUGAGCAAGGCCUCCAAGCUUACAGAAAUCUUCAGCCAUGGGGAAGAGCCAUGCUAUGUUAACCAUCUGCCAAUAAAGCCUGGCUAACCAAGUGCCGGCCAGUGUCCCUAGUCACUUUGCUGGUGCCUCCAGAAGGCUGCAAAUGCUGAUGGGCAAGACUGGUGCUACCAAUGAAAUUCUUGAUUUAGACUCUGUGGAGUC
This is a long non-coding RNA of Lepidothrix coronata (blue-crowned manakin), 580 nucleotides long. RefSeq lists it as uncharacterized. The transcript is spliced from 3 exons. Lineage: Eukaryota; Metazoa; Chordata; Aves; Passeriformes; Pipridae. The record is from RefSeq and is a predicted model, not a curated record.